AUUGAACGCUGGCGGCAGGCCUAACACAUGCAAGUCGAACGGUAACAGGAAGAAGCUUGCUUCUUUGCUGACGAGUGGCGGACGGGUGAGUAAUGUCUGGGAAACUGCCUGAUGGAGGGGGAUAACUACUGGAAACGGUAGCUAAUACCGCAUAACGUCGCAAGACCAAAGAGGGGGACCUUCGGGCCUCUUGCCAUCGGAUGUGCCCAGAUGGGAUUAGCUAGUUGGUGGGGUAACGGCUCACCAAGGCGACGAUCCCUAGCUGGUCUGAGAGGAUGACCAGCCACACUAGAACUGAAACACGGUCCAGACUCCUACGGGAGGCAGCAGUGGGGAAUAUUGCACAAUGGGCGCAAGCCUGAUGCAGCCAUGCCGCGUGUAUGAAGAAGGCCUUCGGGCUGUAAAGUACUUUCAGCGGGGAGGAAGGGAGUAAAGUUAAUACCUUUGCUCAUUGACGUUACCCGCAGAAGAAGCACCGGCUAACUCCGUGCCAGCAGCCGCCGUAA
RNAcentral lists this ribosomal RNA (506 nucleotides) under uncultured bacterium. RNAcentral describes it as "partial 16S ribosomal RNA". It matches the Rfam family "Bacterial small subunit ribosomal RNA", at positions 30 to 523 of the family's 1533-position model. The record is from RNAcentral.